UUCUCUAUGAUGUUUAAAUGAAAACUUUCGUUCUCCUGAGUAGAAAAUGCUGAAAAUUUGUGGAGACCUGAGCUGAAGAGAA
This is a small nucleolar RNA of Mangifera indica (mango), 82 nucleotides long. RefSeq annotates it as small nucleolar RNA Z159/U59. NCBI's taxonomy places the organism in Eukaryota, Viridiplantae, Streptophyta, Magnoliopsida, Sapindales, Anacardiaceae. The record is from RefSeq and is a predicted model, not a curated record. The transcript has a single exon.